GACGAACGCUGGCGGCGUGCCUAAUACAUGCAAGUAGAACGCUGAGGCAGGAGCUUGCUCUGCUGGAUGAGUUGCGAACGGGUGAGUAACGCGUAGGUAACCUGCCUGGUAGCGGGGGAUAACUUUUGGAAACGAUGGCUAAUACCGCAUAAGAGUAGCUGUUGCAUGACAUUUACUGAAAAGGUUCAAUUGCAUCACUACCAGACGGACCUGCGUUGUAUUGGCUAGGUGGUGGGGUAACGGCUGACCAAGGCGACGAUGCAUAGCCGCCCGGCGAGGGGGAUCGGCCACCCUGGGACGGUGACACGCCCCAGUCUCCUACGGGAGGCAGCCGGAGGGCAUCUUCGGCCAGCGGCGGAAGUUUGUCCGAGCUACGCCGCGGGAGUGUAGAAGGUUGUCGGAUCGUAAAGCUCUGUUGUCAGGUAAGAACGAGUUUGAGAGUGUAAAGUUCACACUGUGACGGUAUCUUACCAGAAAGCGACGGCUAACUACGUG
This 495-nucleotide ribosomal RNA is filed under the name uncultured bacterium. RNAcentral's name for it is "partial 16S ribosomal RNA". It matches the Rfam family "Bacterial small subunit ribosomal RNA", at positions 28 to 507 of the family's 1533-position model. The record is from RNAcentral.